RNAcentral lists this non-coding RNA (29 nucleotides) under Homo sapiens (human). Lineage: Eukaryota; Metazoa; Chordata; Mammalia; Primates; Hominidae. The record is from RNAcentral.
UUGGCAGGCUCCCAUAGGUGAAUCACAGU